RNAcentral lists this long non-coding RNA (1135 nucleotides) under Chinchilla lanigera (long-tailed chinchilla). RNAcentral's name for it is "lncRNA (ENSCLAG00000023162.1)". The record is from RNAcentral. Lineage: Eukaryota; Metazoa; Chordata; Mammalia; Rodentia; Chinchillidae.
CUCCCACAUUCUUUAGUCUCUCCAACUCCAAUUUGUAUGAAAGGUUACUCCAUUUCCCUUCAUUCUCCCUGUUUGGUUCUUGGAAAAGAAAAUUUGUCCUUCACCCACCUUCUAGAGGGAAAAUAUGAAUGGCCUCCUCAGUGAAUCUCAGUUGUGCUUUCAAAUCCUCUUUUUUCCUGUCCUCUUCUCUAGGGACUGACUCAGAAAUCUUGGGGGUGGAAAGGCCCUAAGAUGUUUUCUAAGCCCCAAGUGGCUUGGGUCUCUCUCUCUGUCUCUCUCUCUUUCUUUCUCUCUCUCUCUCUCUCUCUCACUGGGGAUUGAACCUGGACCCUUUGCACUGAGCUAUAUCCCCAGCCCUUAUUUUUUGUGACAGUCUUACUAAUUUGCUAAAUUUCUCAGGCUGAGUGUGAAGUGACGCUCUUCCUCCCUCAUCCUCCCAGUGUGCUGGGGUUACAGGCAUGUGCCACCAUGCUUGGCAUUAGGGUCUCAUAAAACUGUUUACUGCAUCCUUGGGUAUUUCUACAUGACUCUCCCUCCACUUCUGAGGUACAUAUUGAUGUCUGUAAGCAUUAGAUGGACCUGUUAAGUGCAAUCCAUUUCCCACUCAGUUGCUAGGAGCUCAGUAGCAGGGAAGAGCAGAGCCAUUCCACAUUCCAUGGGGAAACUCUGAAAACAACUCCAGCAACUCAGAGCCAGGCUCCUGCCAAUACUCCAGACAUCGAUGCCUCUGGUUCUUCAUGCUAGUUAGUCAGUCAACCGCAGGGUCUUUACCUAGCAGUAUAACUUGGGAAGGUGAUGUUACCUUCCUAAAUAUCAGUGAAAUGGCACAGCAAGCGCUCAGUGUGUUCACCACAUUCCUGAUGUUCGCGGCGGUGUUACAGUCUGAACCCCCAAGUUUGGCUUAGGAAGCCUCUUGAGUCUGGGCUUCCUGGAGAGCUAUGAACUGGUGACAGACCGAGGUGGGGGGUGUUGGGAGGGUCAGGUUAGCUCAAGGCUUUUACAACCAUUAGUAAUUCAAGAGGCCAACUUUGUGGGCUAAAGCCAGCAUUAAAACAACAACAAAAAUGUGGAAUAAAUUAGAACAGAGUCCCACAGAAUAGAUGCAGCAAGGCAUUCCAAAAAAUAAAGGUCUCAG